UGGUAUCAUGAUAUUCAGAUUUACAUCAAAAAUAGAGAAUACCCUCUUGGGGAAAGCAGAAACGAAAGAAGAAUGAUCAGAAGGUUAGCGUUGGGAUACUUCCCCAGUAGAGAAGCCCUAUACAAGAGGGGCUCCAACGGCGAACUGUUGAGAUAUGUGGAUGCAGAAGAGAUAAAGAGGAUUCUUUUCGAGACUCAUGAGGG
This 203-nucleotide unclassified non-coding RNA is filed under the name Hevea brasiliensis (rubber tree). Lineage: Eukaryota; Viridiplantae; Streptophyta; Magnoliopsida; Malpighiales; Euphorbiaceae. The record is from RNAcentral.